Molecule: long non-coding RNA, 941 nt
Filed under: Citrus x clementina
Lineage: Eukaryota; Viridiplantae; Streptophyta; Magnoliopsida; Sapindales; Rutaceae
Description: Citrus clementina (C. clementina) long non-coding RNA (CCLE_LNC002025)
Source: RNAcentral
AUGUAUGUAUAAAAUAAGCACGCAUGAAAUGAGUAAUUUAAUUAAUUAAUAAGAUUUAUAUUUCCGAAGAUAUUUUUCAGAUACUAUUGUAGAAGGGAUCAUCUGAAAUGACGAGCACGAUGCACUUUCUUCUUCUUCUUCUUGUUUCUGCCAUAAUUAACUUACAUCUAAUAUAUAACAAGCACUAACAAAUUAAGCACUUUUUCUUCUUCCCGAUGCUACUUAACCAUAGGAUUUUUAGAGCGAUAUAGAUAAACAUGAGAUCAAGUGAAAUAAAAGAUUAGUUACUGUAUUUCAAGGGUGGCGUGAGUUGUUGACCUAGAGUAUUAAUGGAACACACGAUGUAUUUGGUCGCACUAAAUACCGCACCAAUCAGGUGCUAUGAAAUGAUAACGUAACAAUAAAAGUCCACAACCGGAUGUUGAUACUUUUUAUUUUAAGCAUUAAAUUCUAGUUGUAGUUCUUUACAUCUUUGAGAAUCCUUUAGAUUGUGCUUAAUAAUCGGUUGUCUGAGCCUAAAUUGUUACAAUUAGCAACUCGUGACUCGAUGUGUGUGUAUAUUAUUAUUCUAUUUUAUAUCCAUUCUCACACGAAAAUAUAAAGCCUUAAGAGAGAAGAUUAUAAUAUCUCACAUUAUUAGAAAGAGAUGAUUUUGAUUAUUUUUUGAGCUUUCGUUCUCCUAAGUUAAUAGAUAUGUUUUAGAAUUAAUAGUCCAACAAUAAAAUCAUGAGGAGCUAUGUGCUUAAAGUAGGGCAGUGGACAAUAUCUUUUUAAGUUUGGCCCCAAUAUCUAUUUUUCCAAUUUUUGGGUUUCAUUUUUGGGCCCAACAUCUAUUUAAUUUUUCGGCCCGAACCCUUAAAGAUACAGUUUAAAACAUUAAACAUUCCAUGCGCCUUUUAAGAAUGUCACAUAAUUUGUCGUGUUAGAUGGGUUGAGAAAAU